CCGGAAUCGGCUGAUGGGCCUUCGCAGGAUCGAGCGUUUUGCGAUCGGGCUUGGCAUGCGACUGGGUGCCGAACAGCGAGAAGCCGAACACCGUGUUGGUCCACAUGUCGAGGCCGCCGAGCGCGACCCCGAUCACGGUGCCGAACUUCGACCACAGCGGCUUGACGUUGCGGGCCUUGAACAGGGCCUUGCCGACGGCCGAAUC
Molecule: unclassified non-coding RNA, 205 nt
Filed under: Hevea brasiliensis (rubber tree)
Lineage: Eukaryota; Viridiplantae; Streptophyta; Magnoliopsida; Malpighiales; Euphorbiaceae
Source: RNAcentral